AUGAUGUUCUAUACAUGGCUAACGGAACAUAAUUUUUUUAAGAAAGAAAAUGAAUUAGAAGGGAAAAAACGGUGUACAGAGGUGAAGGGGAGCACAGAUGCGCUGCAGUGUGUGGAUGACGGCGGCUCACCGAAGGGCAACCCUGGAGAGAGGUGGUCGCGUUGGCACAGAGUGGAGGGUCCAACCCAGCACCGGCCAAGGGGAUCAAGAGCCCUGUGCCCCUCAGGUCUCCAUGCAGCCUGUCUGGAGGGCACUGUACGAGGGACCCCUGGAUCCGUGUCUGCUGGAAAAGUCACUGCCGACCGCAGAUUGGAAGUGUCGGCCGCAGUCCCCGUGCAACUGUGCUUGUGUUUUCCCCAAAGAGUAGAGGAGAACGGGCAUCUCGAAAUGGACGUCACACGCAUCCCUUCUUUCCAGCUGGCGUGGUUGUGUGUCUCUCACGCCUUCUCGGGACGAGCUCUUCAGGGGUGAGAGGCAUCGGAGAGGGUGGCAUCGCGGAGGCAAGUGGCCAGCAGAGCUCCUACCAUCCCCACCGCUCACCGCACGCGCCAACACCUCCCGGCACAAGAGUCAACGGGAGAAUCGCAGAAGAACAGCUGGUUAAAAUCCGCCUGCUCGGUAAACGCCACAUUUAACGGAGCCGAGUUGUGAUAUAUGCCCCUGUGUGAGCUGAUCGUCCUUCUGCUUGUGCCACUCCCGGCCAUCAGGGCUUUAAUGGCCGGGCGGGGCCCCAGAGUCACAGGAGGGCCGGUGCGUGCCAAGGUGCGUGCCCCAAGCCGGUAAGCCCUUCCAUACAGACAGGUUCUGGUCGGCAGCUUCCGUCUCCGAUGAGAGACAGAAUGUGGAGCACAUCACGUGCGAGCCGUGUGCAGGCUGCCCAGAGGGCCUGGGCGUGAACACAGGCAUGGCUGCCACAGAUCUGGGACGGAGGACUGCCCAAGCCGGUUCUGCGGUCACACCAGCCUGCACGUCUCCCCACCCGGGAGACCUCCUCCCUCCUCUGCUUCUGAGGGGACAGUUAGGUUUGUCCACUGGAGGCCCCGCAAGGCAGGACCCUGGUCUGAGACAGACAGGCUGGGGAAAGUCUGACUUUUACCCUGGACGCCUCCGCGCCCCUUUCUGCCCAUGUCACUCUGCCUCCCGUGCGCACCGGGUCCAAAUUCACUCUGAUGAAGAACGAUGGGCGCACCCUCCAAGCCAGGAUGUUCCCAGAGGCCCUCCCUAGAGCAGGAAGUGGACCAGGCAAAGGAAGCUAUUCCCGGGCCAGCUUUUAAGGAGCGGGAAUGAGGACACUUGGGCCUCUGAGCCAAGCUCAGAGCUCGGUGAACGCAAGCCCGCGGAGAGUCCCAUCUGGUGCCGUGCCGCGCUGCCCCAUAGCCGGGCGUGCAGCUUGUCUUGCCCGCGGGCACAGGUGACAAACACGACCACAGCCCCUGGACCAUUUCUUCCAGACACAGUAAACUCUGACUUUGUGAUUCUGUGAUUGGAACAAAUGGCAUUCAGAAACAAUGCAUCCGGGUUUAAGGGUCUCAAAAAAUGAUUUCCAUUUGGGAAAGGCACCUUCUGAACAAGCACACAAACAUUAAGUUGAAUGAGUUAAAAACAGAUCUCCAUUGUGAAAUCAGAAGAAAUUCUGGACACGCGCAGGAACUGAGCCAGGAGGCCAGGCGCUCUGGGCUGCGGUCCUGCUUCCUGACGCCCACUGUGUUCCGUUGCCCCUGUGCGCCUCUCUGACUUUGCUGGUGACCAUGGAGCAGACCCCUCCAGUCCUAGUUGGGCAGAAUAAACAUAUUUCUGCCUUUUCUUUUCCCCAAUAUAAUAAAAAGAAAAUAAAUCCAAAGUCCACCUUUACCAGAAUUAAAGACUUCGGUUUUUACAAAUCACAAAACACAAAGACAGAAGGUGGGAGCGGAAGUGGGCAGAGACUUGGGGUUGGGUGGGGAGGACAGAGAGACCACAGGCAGGUGACCCUGAAAGGCUCAGAGGUUGGGGUGUGAUUGGUCACUGGCAGGAACACAGGUCCCCCAACUCCCAGCACACUAACUAACCGUCUCCCGCAUCCCAAAGGGCAGAAAGCAGAUCCCGGAGAGUCUGAGAGCGAAGACGUGCAGCGAGCAGGAGAGUAACACGCAGAGCAGGUACGCGUGAG
Molecule: long non-coding RNA, 2149 nt
Organism: Mustela putorius furo (domestic ferret)
Lineage: Eukaryota; Metazoa; Chordata; Mammalia; Carnivora; Mustelidae
Source: Ensembl